AAGUCGUAACAAGGUUUCCGUAGGUGAACCUGCGGAAGGAUCAUUACCGAGUGCGGGCCCUCUGGGUCCAACCUCCCAUCCGUGUCUAUUAUACCCUGUUGCUUCGGCGGGCCCGCCGUCGCUCCAUCCCCGGGAUCUUUUCCGGGGACGGGGCGCGGCCGCCGGGGGGCGAUCCCGCCCCCGGGCCCGUGCCCGCCGGGGACACCAACACUGAACACUGUCUGAAGGUUGCAGUCUGAGUUUUCAUAAAAGAAAAAUCGUUAAAACUUUCAACAACGGAUCUCUUGGUUCCG
Molecule: unclassified non-coding RNA, 293 nt
Filed under: air metagenome
Description: partial contains small subunit ribosomal RNA, internal transcribed spacer 1, and 5.8S ribosomal RNA
Rfam family: Eukaryotic small subunit ribosomal RNA (bases 1-46)
Source: RNAcentral